UGGGGAAUAUUGCACAAUGGGGGAAACCCUGAUGCAGCGACGCCGCGUGGAGGAAGAAGGUCUUCGGAUUGUAAACUCCUGUUGUUGAGGAAGAUAAUGACGGUACUCAACAAGGAAGUGACGGCUAACUACGUGCCAGCAGCCGCGGUAAAACGUAGGUCACAAGCGUUGUCCGGAAUUACUGGGUGUAAAGGGAGCGCAGGCGGGAGAACAAGUUGGAAGUGAAAUCCAUGGGCUCAACCCAUGAACUGCUUUCAAAACUGUUUUUCUUGAGUAGUGCAGAGGUAGGCGGAAUUCCCGGUGUAGCGGUGGAAUGCGUAGAUAUCGGGAGGAACACCAGUGGCGAAGGCGGCCUACUGGGCACCAACUGACGCUGAGGCUCGAAAGUGUGGGUAGCAAACAGGAUUAGAUACCCUGGUAGUCCACACCGUAAACGAUGAUUACUAGGUGUUGGAGGAUUGACCCCUUCAGUGCCGCAGUUAACACAAUAAGUAAUCCACCUGGGGAGUACGACCGCAAGGUUGAAACUCAAAGGAAUUGACGGGGGCCCGCACAAGCAGUGGAGUAUGUGGUUUAAUUCGACGCAACGCGAAGAACCUUACCAAGUCUUGACAUCCCUUGACGAUGCUGGAAACAGCAUUUCUCUUCGGAGCAAGGAGACAGGUGGUGCAUGGUUGUCGUCAGCUCGUGUCGUGAGAUGUUGGGUUAAGUCCCGCAACGAGCGCAACCCUUAUGGUCAGUUACUACGCAAGAGGACUCUGGCCAGACUGCCGUUGACAAAACGGAGGAAGGUGGGGAUGACGUCAAAUCAUCAUGCCCUUUAUGACUUGGGCUACACACGUACUACAAUGGCGUUAAACAAAGAGAAGCAAGACCGCGAGGUGGAGCAAAACUCAAAAACAACGUCUCAGUUCAGAUUGCAGGCUGCAACUCGCCUGCAUGAAGUCGGAAUUGCUAGUAAUCGCGGAUCAGCAUGCCGCGGUGAAUACGUUCCC
RNAcentral lists this ribosomal RNA (995 nucleotides) under uncultured bacterium. RNAcentral describes it as "bacterial SSU rRNA". It matches the Rfam family "Bacterial small subunit ribosomal RNA", at positions 355 to 1375 of the family's 1533-position model. The record is from RNAcentral.